UACGUAGGGUGCGAGCGUUAAUCGGAAUUACUGGGCGUAAAGCGUGCGCAGGCGGUUUUGUAAGUCAGAUGUGAAAUCCCCGGGCUCAACCUGGGAACUGCAUUUGUGACUGUAGAGCUGGAGUACGGCAGAGGGGGAUGGAAUUCCGCGUGUAGCAGUGAAAUGCGUAGAUAUGCGGAGGAACACCGAUGGCGAAGGCAAUCCCCUGGGCCUGUACUGACGCUCAUGCACGAAAGCGUGGGGAGCAAACAGGA
RNAcentral lists this ribosomal RNA (254 nucleotides) under uncultured bacterium. Its description in RNAcentral is "partial 16S ribosomal RNA". It matches the Rfam family "Bacterial small subunit ribosomal RNA", at positions 524 to 777 of the family's 1533-position model. The record is from RNAcentral.